RNAcentral lists this ribosomal RNA (253 nucleotides) under uncultured bacterium. RNAcentral's name for it is "partial 16S ribosomal RNA". It matches the Rfam family "Bacterial small subunit ribosomal RNA", at positions 524 to 776 of the family's 1533-position model. The record is from RNAcentral.
UACAGAGGUCUCAAGCGUUGUUCGGAUUCAUUGGGCGUAAAGGGUGCGUAGGCGGCGCGGUAAGUCGGGUGUGAAAUCUCGGAGCUUAACUCCGAAACUGCAUUCGAUACUGCCGUGCUUGAGGACUGGAGAGGAGACUGGAAUUUACGGUGUAGCGGUGAAAUGCGUAGAUAUCUGGAGGAACACCGGUGGCGAAGGCGGCAUCCUGGACCAACACUGACACUGAGGAGCGAAAGCCAGGGGAGCAAACGGG